AUUGAACGCUGGCGGAAUGCUUUACACAUGCAAGUCGAGGGGUAGAAGAGGCUUGCUUCUUUGAGACCGGCGCACGGGUGCGUAACGCGUAUGCAACCUACCUUCAUCUGGGGGAUAGCCCGGAGAAAUCCGGAUUAAUACCGCAUAAAAUCACAGGAUGGCAUUAUCCAAUGAUCAAACAUUUAUGGGAUGGAGAUGGGCAUGCGUGUCAUUAGCUAGUUGGCGGGGUAACGGCCCACCAAGGCGACGAUGACUAGGGGAUCUGAGAGGAUGGCCCCCCACACUGGUACUGAGACACGGACCAGACUCCUACGGGAGGCAGCAGUAAGGAAUAUUGGUCAAUGGAGGCAACUCUGAACCAGCCAUGCCGCGUGCAGGAAGACUGCCCUAUGGGUUGUAAACUGCUUUUAUUCGGGAAUAAACCUUAUUACGUGUAAUAAGCUGAAUGUACCGAAGGAAUAAGGAUCGGCUAACUCCGUGCCAGCAGCCGCAGUAA
This 496-nucleotide ribosomal RNA is filed under the name uncultured bacterium. Its description in RNAcentral is "partial 16S ribosomal RNA". It matches the Rfam family "Bacterial small subunit ribosomal RNA", at positions 30 to 523 of the family's 1533-position model. The record is from RNAcentral.